Molecule: ribosomal RNA, 915 nt
Filed under: uncultured bacterium
Lineage: Bacteria
Description: bacterial SSU rRNA
Rfam family: Bacterial small subunit ribosomal RNA
Source: RNAcentral
AGAGUUUGAUCCUGGCUCAGAUUGAACGCUGGCGGAAUGCUUUACACAUGCAAGUCGAACGGCAGCACGGACUUCGGUCUGGUGGCGAGUGGCGAACGGGUGAGUAAUAUAUCGGAACGUGCCCAGUCGUGGGGGAUAACGUAGUGAAAAUUACGCUAAUACCGCAUACGAUCUAAGGAUGAAAGCGGGGGAUCGCAAGACCUCGCGCGAUUGGAGCGGCCGAUAUCAGAUUAGGUAGUUGGUGAGGUAAAGGCUCACCAAGCCGACGAUCUGUAGCUGGUCUGAGAGGACGACCAGCCACACUGGAACUGAGACACGGUCCAGACUCCUACGGGAGGCAGCAGUGGGGAAUUUUGGACAAUGGACGCAAGUCUGAUCCAGCCAUUCCGCGUGCAGGACGAAGGCCUUCGGGUUGUAAACUGCUUUUGUACAGAACGAAAAGGUCUCUAUUAAUACUAGGGGCUCAUGACGGUACUGUAAGAAUAAGCACCGGCUAACUACGUGCCAGCAGCCGCGGUAAUACGUAGGGUGCAAGCGUUAAUCGGAAUUACUGGGCGUAAAGCGUGCGCAGGCGGUUAUAUAAGACAGAUGUGAAAUCCCCGGGCUCAACCUGGGAACUGCAUUUGUGACUGUAUAGCUGGAGUGCGGCAGAGGGGGAUGGAAUUCCGCGUGUAGCAGUGAAAUGCGUAGAUAUGCGGAGGAACACCGAUGGCGAAGGCAAUCCCCUGGGCCUGCACUGACGCUCAUGCACGAAAGCGUGGGGAGCAAACAGGAUUAGAUACCCUGGUAGUCCACGCCCUAAACGAUGUCAACUGGUUGUUGGGUCUUCACUGACUCAGUAACGAAGCUAACGCGUGAAGUUGACCGCCUGGGGAGUACGGCCGCAAGGUUGAAACUCAAAGGAAUUGACGGGGA